GAGUUUGAUCCUGGCUCAGGACGAACGCUGGCGGCGUGCCUAAUACAUGCAAGUCGAGCGGAUCUUGAGAAAAGCUUGCUUUUCACUUGGUUAGCGGCGGACGGGUGAGUAACACGUGGGCAACCUGCCUGUAAGACUGGGAUAACUUCGGGAAACCGGAGCUAAUACCGGAUAACAUCAGACACCACAUGGUGUCUGACUAAAAGAUGGCUUCGGCUAUCACUUACAGAUGGGCCCGCGUCGCAUUAGCUAGUUGGUGAGGUAAUGGCUCACCAAGGCGACGAUGCGUAGCCGACCUGAGAGGGUGAUCGGCCACACUGGGACUGAGACACGGCCCAGACUCCUACGGGAGGCAGCAGUAGGGAAUCUUCCACAAUGGACGAAAGUCUGAUGGAGCAACGCCGCGUGAGCGAUGAAGGCCUUCGGGUCGUAAAGCUCUGUUGUUAGGGAAGAACAAGUACCGUUCGAAUAGGGCGGUACCAUGACGGUACCUAACCAGAAAGCCACGGCUAACUACGUGCCAGCAGCCGCGGUAAUACGUAGGUGGCAAGCGUUGUCCGGAAUUAUUGGGCGUAAAGCGCGCGCAGGCGGUCCUUUAAGUCUGAUGUGAAAGCCCACGGCUCAACCGUGGAGGGUCAUUGGAAACUGGAGGACUUGAGUGCAGAAGAGAAGAGCGGAAUUCCACGUGUAGCGGUGAAAUGCGUAGAGAUGUGGAGGAACACCAGUGGCGAAGGCGGCUCUUUGGUCUGUAACUGACGCUGAGGCGCGAAAGCGUGGGGAGCAAACAGGAUUAGAUACCCUGGUAGUCCACGCCGUAAACGAUGGAUGCUCGCCGUUGCCUCGUCAAGGGGCAGUGGCUAAGCUAACGCGUUAAGCAUCCCGCCUGGGGAGUACGUCCGCAAGGAUGAAACUCAAAGGAAUUGACGGGGGCCCGCACAAGCGGUGGAGCAUGUGGCUUAAUUCGAUGCAACGCGAAGAACCUUACCUAGGCUCGAACGCUAGGCGACCGCUCCUGAAAGGGAGCUUUCCGCAAGGACGCCUAGCGAGGUACUGCAUGGCUGUCGUCAGCUCGUGUCGUGAGAUGUUGGGUUAAGUCCCGCAACGAGCGUAACCCCUGUUGCUAGUUACCAGCGGAUUGUGCCGGGGACUCUAGCGAGACUGCCUGCGCAAGCAGGAGGAAGGUGGGGAUGACGUCAAGUCAUCAUGGUCCUUACGCCUAGGGCUGCACACGUGCUACAAUGGCCGGUACAACGGGCAGCCACCCCGCGAGGGGGAGCGAAUCCCUGAAAACCGGUCCCAGUUCGGAUUGGAGUCUGCAACUCGACUCCAUGAAGCAGGAAUCGCUAGUAAUCGCGGAUCAGCAAUGCCGCGGUGAAUCCGUUCCCGGGCCUUGUACACACCGCCCGUCAAGCCAUGGAAGCUGAGAGCACCCGAAGUCCGUGACCCAACCCUUUGGGAGGGAGCGGCCGAAAGUGAGCUCAGUGACUGGGGCUAAGUCGUAACAAGGUAGCCGU
RNAcentral lists this ribosomal RNA (1514 nucleotides) under uncultured bacterium. RNAcentral describes it as "partial 16S rRNA". It matches the Rfam family "Bacterial small subunit ribosomal RNA". The record is from RNAcentral.